This 484-nucleotide ribosomal RNA is filed under the name uncultured bacterium. RNAcentral's name for it is "partial 16S ribosomal RNA". It matches the Rfam family "Bacterial small subunit ribosomal RNA", at positions 30 to 507 of the family's 1533-position model. The record is from RNAcentral.
AUUGAACGCUGGCGGCAUGCUUUACACAUGCAAGUCGAACGGCAGCGCGGGCUUCGUCCUGGCUGCGAGUGUCGAACGGGUGUGUAAUGCAUCGGAACGUGCCCAGCAUUGGGGGAUAGUCCGGCGAAAGCCGGAUUAAUACCGCAUACGACCUGAUGGUGAAAGCUGGUGACCGAAAGGCCUCUUGCUAUUUUAGCGGCGGAUGUCGGAUUAGCUAGUUGGUGGGGUAAAGGCUUACCAAGGCGACGAUCCGUAGCUGGUCUGAGAGGACGACCAGCCACACUGGGAGUGAGACACGGACCAGAGUCCUACGGGAGGCCGCAGUGGGGAAUUUUGGACAGUGGGGGCAACCCUGAUACAGCCAUGCCGCGUGCGGGAAGAAGGCCUUCGGGUUGUAAACCGCUUUUGUUCGGGAAGAAACCCUCUGGGCUAAUACCACGGGGGGAUGACGGUACCGGAAGAAUAAGCACCGGCUAACUACGUG